RNAcentral lists this transfer RNA (71 nucleotides) under Chlorella variabilis. RNAcentral describes it as "tRNA-Gly". The record is from RNAcentral. Lineage: Eukaryota; Viridiplantae; Chlorophyta; Trebouxiophyceae; Chlorellales; Chlorellaceae.
AGCGGAUAGUGAGAAUCGAACUCACAUUAGCUGCUUGGAAGGCAGAGGAUUUACCAUUAAUCUAUAUCCGC